This 319-nucleotide ribosomal RNA is filed under the name uncultured soil bacterium. RNAcentral describes it as "bacterial SSU rRNA". It matches the Rfam family "Bacterial small subunit ribosomal RNA", at positions 26 to 337 of the family's 1533-position model. The record is from RNAcentral.
AGAGUGAACGCUGGCGGUAGGCCUAACACACGCAAGUCGAACGGCAGCACAGUAGGAGCUUGCUCUUACGGGUGGCGAGUGGCGGACGGGUGAGGAAUACAUCGGAAUCUACCUUUUGGUGGGGGAUAACGUAGGGAAACUUACGCUAAUACCGCAUACGCCCUUCGGGGGAAAGCCGGGGACCAGCAAUGGCCUGGCGCUGAUAGAUGAGCCGAUGUCGGAUUAGCUAGUUGGUGAGGUAAUGGCUCACCAAGGCGACGAUCCGUAGCUGGUCUGAGAGGAUGAUCAGCCACACUGGAACUGGGACACGGUCCAGACU